CCCUCCUCUGCCUUGCGGGGUGACUCCACUACUGUCCCGCAGAAGCGAUUGGACGGGGACCUUGAGCGCACACGCACAGUGACAGGUGCUCAGUGCUCCCUGUUCACCAGCCCUGAGCCUGCAGCAUCACCUGGCAGAGCCAGCCCCUCACUAUCACAGCCUUGCAACAACCACAGGGGAGGCUUGGACCAGUCCUUGUCCCCACAGCAAGUUCUCCAGGUUUUAUUGGUUUCGUUCCCCAUAUCACUCCAUUCCUCCCCAUUAAACCAUCUUCUCAGUCA
Parus major (Great Tit) is the source of this 281-nucleotide long non-coding RNA. RefSeq lists it as uncharacterized. The transcript has 3 exons. Lineage: Eukaryota; Metazoa; Chordata; Aves; Passeriformes; Paridae. The record is from RefSeq and is a predicted model, not a curated record.